This 817-nucleotide ribosomal RNA is filed under the name Glyphoglossus guttulatus (orange burrowing frog). Its description in RNAcentral is "partial 16S rRNA". It matches the Rfam family "Bacterial large subunit ribosomal RNA", at positions 1533 to 2574 of the family's 2925-position model. Lineage: Eukaryota; Metazoa; Chordata; Amphibia; Anura; Microhylidae. The record is from RNAcentral.
UUCACUAACUUACCAAAACCCUUACCUAGUACUGAGCGACUUCAUAAAAUUAUGAAGAACCAUAUGCUAGAACUAGUAACAAGAAACAGACCUUCUCCAAAAUGUAUGCAUAAGCCAAAAUGAACCACUCAUCGGCACUUAUCGUUUAUGAACCAACAGUAGCAACUUCAACAAGAAAACCCUACUACUCAUGACGUUAACCUCACACCAGAACAUUCCAGGAAAGAUUAAAAGAAAGGGAAGGAACUCGGCAAAUAAUAACCUCGCCUGUUUACCAAAAACAUCGCCUCUUGACCCACUAUAAGAGGUCCAGCCUGCCCAGUGACAAAGUUAAACGGCCGCGGUACCCUAACCGUGCAAAGGUAGCGCAAUCACUUGUUCUUUAAAUGAGGACUAGUAUGAAUGGCAUCACGAGGGUUAUACUGUCUCCCCCAUCUAAUCAGUGAAACUGACCCUCCCGUGAAGAAGCGGGAAUAAAAAUAUAAGACGAGAAGACCCCAUGGAGCUUCAAACCCAACAUCAACUGCUUAAAUUUUACAACAUCCAAACCCAACAGCCCUGAUGAUUGGUUUUCGGUUGGGGUGACCACGGAGUAAAACAAAACCUCCACGAUGAAAGGGACCCUUCCCUAAUCCAAGAGCUACAGCUCUAAGAAUCAAUAAAUUGACAAACUUGACCCAAAUAUUUUUUGAUCAACGAACCAAGUUACCCUGGGGAUAACAGCGCAAUCCAUUUCAAGAGCCCAUAUCGACAAAUGGGUUUACGACCUCGAUGUUGGAUCAGGGUAUCCAAGUGGCGCAGCCGCUACUAACGGUUC